Molecule: unclassified non-coding RNA, 338 nt
Filed under: soil metagenome
Description: partial contains 5.8S ribosomal RNA, internal transcribed spacer 2, and large subunit ribosomal RNA
Rfam family: 5.8S ribosomal RNA (bases 1-120)
Source: RNAcentral
GAUGAAGAACGCAGCGAAAUGCGAUACGUAGUGUGAAUUGCAGAAUUCAGUGAAUCAUCGAAUCUUUGAACGCACAUUGCACCUCUCGGUAUUCCGGGAGGUAUGCCUGUUCGAGCGUCAUUUGUACCCUCAAGCUCUGCUUGGUGCUGGGUGUUUGUUCCGCCUCUGUGUGUGAACUCGCCUCAAAACAAUUGGCAGCCGGCGUACUUGUUUCGGAGCGCAGCACAUUUUGCGAUCCAGAUCAACGUACAGCGGCAUCCAAGAAGCCUUAUUUAACGCUCUUGACCUCGGAUCAGGUAGGGAUACCCGCUGAACUUAAGCAUAUCAUAAGCGGAGGA